RNAcentral lists this long non-coding RNA (578 nucleotides) under Homo sapiens (human). Its description in RNAcentral is "non-protein coding lnc-NEDD8-MDP1-1:10". The record is from RNAcentral. Lineage: Eukaryota; Metazoa; Chordata; Mammalia; Primates; Hominidae.
GUGAAGCCCCACCUCUGCUGCGCGCAGCCUGCGGUGCGGGUCAUGGCGCGGCUACCGAAGCUGGCAGUCUUUGAUUUGGGUGAGGGACGGGAAGGGGAGAAUUUCGUAAGAUUACACUCUCUGGCCUUUCUGGGUCGACACGCACGUAGACCCUCCGUUCCAUAAGAGCAGGUGAGGUAGGGACAGGGAAGACUGGGGGCGAGAUAGGACCCAGCCAGGGCUGAGCGCACUCUUGCCCUCUCCAGUGAUGGAACUGUACGAGAUAGGCGGGGCCAAGACGUCCGACUGUACCCAGAGGUGCCUGAGGUCCUAAAACGAUUGCAGAGCCUUGGGGUGCCCGGUGCGGCUGCUUCAAGGACAAGUGAGAUAGAAGGGGCCAACCAGCUACUGGAGCUCUUUGACCUCUUCAGGUACUUUGUUCAUCGGGAAAUCUAUCCAGGCAGCAAGAUCACACACUUUGAGAGGUGUUACCUGCAUUCACAUCCAGAAUGGAAUGAAUCUUCAAACUCUAAGUCAAGGGUUAGAGACAUUUGCGAAGGCCCAAACUGGGCCUUUGAGGUCCAGCCUUGAGGAGAGCC